Molecule: ribosomal RNA, 484 nt
Filed under: uncultured bacterium
Lineage: Bacteria
Description: partial 16S ribosomal RNA
Rfam family: Bacterial small subunit ribosomal RNA
Source: RNAcentral
AUUGAACGCUGGCGGCAGGCCUAACACAUGCAAGUCGAGCGGAUGAAGGGAGCUUGCUCCUGGAUUCAGCGGCGGACGGGUGAGUAAUGCCUAGGAACCUGCCUGGUAGUGGGGGAUAACGUCCGGAAACGGGCGCUAAUACCGCAUACGUCCUGAGGGAGAAAGUGGGGGAUCUUCGGACCUCACGCUAUCAGAUGAGCCUAGGUCGGAUUAGCUAGUUGGUGGGGUAAAGGCCUACCAAGGCGACGAUCCGUAACUGGUCUGAGAGGAUGAUCAGUCACACUGGAACUGAGACACGGUCCAGACUCCUACGGGAGGCAGCAGUGGGGAAUAUUGGACAAUGGGCGAAAGCCUGAUCCAGCCAUGCCGGGUGUGUGAAGAAGGUCUUCGGAUUGUAAAGCACUUUAAGUUGGGAGGAAGGGCAGUAAGUUAAUACCUUGCUGUUUUGACGUUACCAACAGAAUAAGCACCGGCUAACUUCGUG